UUGUUGCAUUGCAUAGGUUGUGCAUAUGAGUUGUUUGUGUGUUAUUGAGUACUUAUUGUAUGGAUUUGUGUAAUUGAAAUGUAUGAAGCUGAUGUUUUUUGCCUUUAGGCUACCCUUACAUUCUUUUGCACCAUUAUAUAUUUUGAGCGUAUUCAUCCAUUUAUUUUGUUAUAGCCUGAUAUACUCCUUCUUAGAAUACAAACAAAGAGAUAGAUGAAUACCUACUUUAGAGAUGAAGAUGAUAUUAAGGCUAUU
This 255-nucleotide long non-coding RNA is filed under the name Lathyrus oleraceus (garden pea). RNAcentral describes it as "Pisum sativum (pea) long non-coding RNA (PSAT_LNC037499)". Lineage: Eukaryota; Viridiplantae; Streptophyta; Magnoliopsida; Fabales; Fabaceae. The record is from RNAcentral.